Molecule: long non-coding RNA, 1703 nt
Organism: Acipenser ruthenus (sterlet)
Lineage: Eukaryota; Metazoa; Chordata; Actinopteri; Acipenseriformes; Acipenseridae
Exons: 4
Source: RefSeq, a predicted model, not a curated record
ACACGAACAUGCCUACGUGCUAAUGCAAGUUCCUUAUCAUCUAACUCCGGAAAUGCACAGGCAGCUUGCACAAACAACAGUUUAUUUUUUUUUGUUAUUAAAAAAAAUCACUUCGUAACCAUUGGGGAAAAGAAAAGAAAAAAGGGAACUAAGAUAUGUGAACUGGUUGAACUUUAAUUGCACUGUACAGUUUGGAUAGUCACAAAGGAUCCCAUUGACAGAACAGCGACAACAGACUGUGGUCGGCUAAUGCUGGCCUCCCAAAGGAAAAAUUGAAAAGGAGAGGAGAAAGUGCAUUUGGUUAUGUCCCCAGAUUGUGGAACUCUUUGUCCUUUUCUAUUAGAGACGCUGCUUCGGUCAAUCUUUAGCCUGUCCUUUGACCCUGUCCUUUGACCCUGUGAACAUCUGCAUGUGGCUGACAACAGUAGUCAGCACAGAAACGAGCGUUCCCCCAGAGUCACUUGCGACACUUUGGACAAACUCACAUUGAUGUCCAACUGGAUGAGCAGAAAUAUAGGGGUACAAUAAAUCACAACGAGCAAGCAAGAAAAAAUAAUUGUGAGGUUCUUAAACGCUUGGUUGAUUCUGUUUACCUUGGCAAGCAAGAACUGGCAUUCAGAGGGCAGGAUGAAGGCACCAAUUCCUCAAACAGAGUGCUCAAAAGAAGACCAGUGAUGUAGUGGAGCCAGAACACCCUGUAAUGCCCUAGAACGUGUCGGAACGCCCUAGAACGUGCCGGAACACCCCGGAACGCCCUGCAAUGCCCUAGAAUGUGCCAGAAUGCCCUGCAAUGCACUAGAACAUGCCGGAACCCCCUAGAACGCCCCGGAACACGCCAGAAUGCCGUUCCAGUACUAUUUGCAAUGGUGUAAUCGAGCCGGAACACGCUUUAUAGGCACGCCGAGUCACAUGACUCACAUUUCCCGCACAACUGUCUGAUUCAGUCAGUAGUCCUCUUGAUGCAAUGAAAACAGCGUUAGGAACUUCUAUUACAAACAACUUCUUUAAGGCUAAAAACACUGACAAAGACAACAGCAUCGACAACGACUGUGUGAAGUAAUUAGAUAAAUGCAUUACCUAUUGUAUGUGUUACUAGAAGUUCAGUGUACAAUUAAAAUGCAAAUUUGUAUAGUAAUAAUUGUUGAAGAAAGACAACAUUGUAGUGAUGUUCCAGUACUUUCAGAUUUAAGACUACAACACUGAAGAAGGCAUUCUUAUACAAUAGCUGUGAUUUGACCAUGGUUACAAAAAGGUAAACGGCAGGGGUUUAGAUUUAAAAUUCAGUGACACUCCAUAUGUUGCUGGUUGACCAUGGAAAUAUGUUCAGAUUGGGAGUUAGGCCUUGGCUGAAGUUCAGUGCUUCACGCAGACCUCAAGGACACACAUCUGAGAGUACAUUCCAAAGGAAUGAAAUCAGAGCUGGCUUCGCAGACCACUCUAACUCCCUGCUUCUCUCUCCACUAACCAGAGGGGAGGGAAGGGUCAUAGUGCUUCAUAUUUGUUUAUUGGCAGGGUUUGUACUUGAACAGCCAAUUUCUAUUUUAAGUAAACUCAACCCCAUGUAUGAUUAUAUCCUGAUCUAAUAUCCUGAUCAUAUUCACAAAGCCUCAACUCAUGAGCUAUUUUUAAGUCAAAUUAAAAUGUGAUAUUCAUGUUAUGUACAGCUCUGGCCAAAAGUUUUGCAUCACCUAGAAUUUUAGGAU